AAACCAGCACCUCAAGUGGUCAGGAUGAUUAUUGGGCCUAAAGCAUCCGUAGCCUGAUCUGUAAGUUUUCGGUUAAAUCUGUACGCUCAACGUACAGGCUGCCGGGAAUACUGCAGAGCUAGGGAGUGGGAGAGGUAGACGGUACUCGGGAGGAAGUGGUAAAAUGCUUUGAUCUCUCGAUGACCACCUGUGGCGAAGGCGGUCUACCAGAACACGUCCGACGGUGAGGGAUGAAAGCUGGGGGAGCAAACCGGAUUAGAAACCCCGGUAGUCC
Molecule: ribosomal RNA, 274 nt
Filed under: uncultured bacterium
Lineage: Bacteria
Description: partial 16S ribosomal RNA
Rfam family: Archaeal small subunit ribosomal RNA
Source: RNAcentral